Molecule: ribosomal RNA, 2051 nt
Filed under: Escherichia coli
Lineage: Bacteria; Pseudomonadati; Pseudomonadota; Gammaproteobacteria; Enterobacterales; Enterobacteriaceae
Description: partial 23S ribosomal RNA
Rfam family: Bacterial large subunit ribosomal RNA
Source: RNAcentral
CAUAGGUUAAUGAGGCGAACCGGGGGAACUGAAACAUCUAAGUACCCCGAGGAAAAGAAAUCAACCGAGAUUCCCCCAGUAGCGGCGAGCGAACGGGGAGCAGCCCAGAGCCUGAAUCAGUGUGUGUGUUAGUGGAAGCGUCUGGAAAGGCGCGCGAUACAGGGUGACAGCCCCGUACACAAAAAUGCACAUGCUGUGAGCUCGAUGAGUAGGGCGGGACACGUGGUAUCCUGUCUGAAUAUGGGGGGACCAUCCUCCAAGGCUAAAUACUCCUGACUGACCGAUAGUGAACCAGUACCGUGAGGGAAAGGCGAAAAGAACCCCGGCGAGGGGAGUGAAAAAGAACCUGAAACCGUGUACGUACAAGCAGUGGGAGCACGCUUAGGCGUGUGACUGCGUACCUUUUGUAUAAUGGGUCAGCGACUUAUAUUCUGUAGCAAGGUUAACCGAAUAGGGGAGCCGAAGGGAAACCGAGUCUUAACUGGGCGUUAAGUUGCAGGGUAUAGACCCGAAACCCGGUGAUCUAGCCAUGGGCAGGUUGAAGGUUGGGUAACACUAACUGGAGGACCGAACCGACUAAUGUUGAAAAAUUAGCGGAUGACUUGUGGCUGGGGGUGAAAGGCCAAUCAAACCGGGAGAUAGCUGGUUCUCCCCGAAAGCUAUUUAGGUAGCGCCUCGUGAAUUCAUCUCCGGGGGUAGAGCACUGUUUCGGCAAGGGGGUCAUCCCGACUUACCAACCCGAUGCAAACUGCGAAUACCGGAGAAUGUUAUCACGGGAGACACACGGCGGGUGCUAACGUCCGUCGUGAAGAGGGAAACAACCCAGACCGCCAGCUAAGGUCCCAAAGUCAUGGUUAAGUGGGAAACGAUGUGGGAAGGCCCAGACAGCCAGGAUGUUGGCUUAGAAGCAGCCAUCAUUUAAAGAAAGCGUAAUAGCUCACUGGUCGAGUCGGCCUGCGCGGAAGAUGUAACGGGGCUAAACCAUGCACCGAAGCUGCGGCAGCGACGCUUAUGCGUUGUUGGGUAGGGGAGCGUUCUGUAAGCCUGUGAAGGUGUGCUGUGAGGCAUGCUGGAGGUAUCAGAAGUGCGAAUGCUGACAUAAGUAACGAUAAAGCGGGUGAAAAGCCCGCUCGCCGGAAGACCAAGGGUUCCUGUCCAACGUUAAUCGGGGCAGGGUGAGUCGACCCCUAAGGCGAGGCCGAAAGGCGUAGUCGAUGGGAAACAGGUUAAUAUUCCUGUACUUGGUGUUACUGCGAAGGGGGGACGGAGAAGGCUAUGUUGGCCGGGCGACGGUUGUCCCGGUUUAAGCGUGUAGGCUGGUUUUCCAGGCAAAUCCGGAAAAUCAAGGCUGAGGCGUGAUGACGAGGCACUACGGUGCUGAAGCAACAAAUGCCCUGCUUCCAGGAAAAGCCUCUAAGCAUCAGGUAACAUCAAAUCGUACCCCAAACCGACACAGGUGGUCAGGUAGAGAAUACCAAGGCGCUUGAGAGAACUCGGGUGAAGGAACUAGGCAAAAUGGUGCCGUAACUUCGGGAGAAGGCACGCUGAUAUGUAGGUGAAGUCCCUCGCGGAUGGAGCUGAAAUCAGUCGAAGAUACCAGCUGGCUGCAACUGUUUAUUAAAAACACAGCACUGUGCAAACACGAAAGUGGACGUAUACGGUGUGACGCCUGCCCGGUGCCGGAAGGUUAAUUGAUGGGGUCAGCGCAAGCGAAGCUCUUGAUCGAAGCCCCGGUAAACGGCGGCCGUAACUAUAACGGUCCUAAGGUAGCGAAAUUCCUUGUCGGGUAAGUUCCGACCUGCACGAAUGGCGUAAUGAUGGCCAGGCUGUCUCCACCCGAGACUCAGUGAAAUUGAACUCGCUGUGAAGAUGCAGUGUACCCGCGGCAAGACGGAAAGACCCCGUGAACCUUUACUAUAGCUUGACACUGAACAUUGAGCCUUGAUGUGUAGGAUAGGUGGGAGGCUUAGAAGUGUGGACGCCAGUCUGCAUGGAGCCGACCUUGAAAUACCACCCUUUAAUGUUUGAUGUUCUAACGUUGACCCGUAAUC